GAUGAACGCUGGCGGCGUGCCUAAUACAUGCAAGUCGAGCGAACGGACGAGAAGCUUGCUUCUCUGAUGUUAGCGGCGGACGGGUGAGUAACACGUGGAUAACCUACCUAUAAGACUGGGAUAACUUCGGGAAACCGGAACUAAUACCGGAUGAUAUUUUGGACCGCAUGGUUCAAAAGUGAAAGACGGUCUUGCUGUCACUUAUAGAUGGAUCCGCGCUGCAUUAGCUAGUUGGUAAGGUAACGGCUUACCAAGGCAACGAUGCAUAGCCGACCUGAGAGGGUGAUCGGCCACACUGGAACUGAGACACGGUCCAGACUCCUACGGGAGGCAGCAGUAGGGAAUCUUCCGCAAUGGGCGAAAGCCUGACGGAGCAACGCCGCGUGAGUGAUGAAGGUCUUCGGAUCGUAAAACUCUGUUAUUAGGGAAGAACAUAUGUGUAAGUAACUGUGCACAUCUUGACGGUACCUAAUCAGAAAGCCACGGCUAACUACGUG
Molecule: ribosomal RNA, 497 nt
Filed under: uncultured bacterium
Lineage: Bacteria
Description: partial 16S ribosomal RNA
Rfam family: Bacterial small subunit ribosomal RNA
Source: RNAcentral